This 290-nucleotide ribosomal RNA is filed under the name uncultured bacterium. RNAcentral's name for it is "partial 16S ribosomal RNA". It matches the Rfam family "Bacterial small subunit ribosomal RNA", at positions 333 to 615 of the family's 1533-position model. The record is from RNAcentral.
UUGAGCCUACGGGGGGCAGCAGUAGGGAAUCUUCCACAAUGGGCGAAAGCCUGAUGGAGCAACGCCGCGUGGGUGAAGAAGGUCUUCGGAUCGUAAAACCCUGUUGUUAGAGAAGAAAGUGCGUGAGAGUAACUGUUCACGUUUCGACGGGAUCUAAACAGAAAGCCACGGCUAACUACGUGCCAGCAGCCGCGGUAAUACGUAGGUGGCAAGCGUUAUCCGGAUUUAUUGGGCGGAAAGGGAACGCAGGCGGGCUUUUAAGUCUGAUGUGAAAGACUUCGGCUUAACCG